AGAUGUAAAAUUGGUUGAUGUUUUCGCCGCCACGAUUCGAAAUGAAACGAAGAAAUGAGAAGAAGCGAAGGUCCUCGGAGAGGUGAAUGAGGAUUUUACCACUAUGGACAUUUGAACAGUAUGCAGAAGAAGACGGAUCUGGAACUAGAAAGCAAGGCUCUGACUGGUCUACUACAGCAAGGAAUGUGCCAGCGGCCAAUCUGAUGAACAUGUGACAGAAGAUUUGGCGAUGGGUGAAGAAAUACUGAGAUUGAAAUGCAACCACAGGUGGAGGCUUCAACCAAACUUUUCAGACAGACAUGAGAUACAAAGAUACACAAGUAUAAAUGGUUGAAGGUUUAGGAGAGCCAGACAAGAAGGCAGGAAAUGUGAUGUCACUUUUACUUCAAUGAACAUGGACAGCAGCAGGAGCAACAACAGCAUCAGCAGCUGAAACUACAACUGCAGUUAGAGAUGCAACAACCACACCGACAACAUCAACAGCAGCAGUAGCUCCAACAACCAUGCAGGGAACAUCGGGCGCAACAUAAAUAACUUCAUCAAGAGAUGCAACAACCACAGUGGUAAACAUCAACAGCAGUAGCAACAACGACAGUAGAAACAAAGCCAACAGCAAGGAUUCUAACAAGCAAUCAUACAAGCAACAACACAAGCGACAACAUCAAUAGAUGCAUCAGGAGAUGCAACAGCCACACUCGUAAACAGCAGCAGUAGCAGCGAUGACAACAGCAACCACACAGGCAACACCUUGAGCAACAUCAGUAGCAAAAAUAACUAAUUGCACCAGGAGAUGCAACAACCACACCCACAACACCAAGAGCAGCAAAAACAAACAGCAAUUCCAGCAA
Molecule: long non-coding RNA, 848 nt
Organism: Lytechinus pictus (painted urchin)
Lineage: Eukaryota; Metazoa; Echinodermata; Echinoidea; Temnopleuroida; Toxopneustidae
Exons: 4
Source: RefSeq, a predicted model, not a curated record